UGGUUUCUUGAGCCGUAUUUUUCUCCCACUUCCCUUCACCACCAUCUGCUCUGAAAAUACAAGUGUAUAUGAAAUGUCAGACUAGGGCUGUGCAGUUAAUCAAAAUUUUAAUCACAAUUACGAUUUUGGCUCCUUAUGAUCACAAAAACAGAAUAAUCGAGAAAAACGAUUAUUUUCCACAUUAUGUUUUGCAAGUAAACUCUUAUUUUGUCUUGACUUCUGAAUGAAAGGGACAUUUCACAGUUGAAGGUGAUUUCACUGUUGAUUUGUUUAACUUUUUCACUGUUGGUUUGUUUUAACUCUAAAAA
This is a long non-coding RNA of Sander lucioperca (pikeperch), 308 nucleotides long. RefSeq lists it as uncharacterized. The record is from RefSeq and is a predicted model, not a curated record. NCBI's taxonomy places the organism in Eukaryota, Metazoa, Chordata, Actinopteri, Perciformes, Percidae. The transcript is spliced from 4 exons.